UUCCAGACUCCUACGGGAGGCAGCAGUGAGGAAUAUUGGUCAAUGGCCGGAAGGCUGAACCAGCCAAGUCGCGUGAGGGAAUAAGGCCCUAUGGGUCGUAAACCUCUUUUGUCAGGGAGCAAAGGCGUCCACGUGUGGACGAGAGGAGAGUACCUGAAGAAAAAGCAUCGGCUAACUCCGUGCCAGCAGCCGCGGUAAUACGGAGGAUGCGAGCGUUAUCCGGAUUUAUUGGGUUUAAAGGGUGCGUAGGCGGACAGUCAAGUCAGCGGUAAAAAUGCGGUGCUCAACGCCGUACAGCCGUUGAAACUGGCAGUCUUGAGUGGGCGAGAAGUAUGCGGAAUGCGUGGUGUAGCGGUGAAAUGCAUAGAUAUCACGCAGAACUCCGAUUGCGAAGGCAGCAUACCGGCGCCCGACUGACGCUGAGGCACGAAAGCGUGGGUAUCGAACAGGAUUAGAUACCCUGGUU
Molecule: ribosomal RNA, 466 nt
Filed under: uncultured bacterium
Lineage: Bacteria
Description: bacterial SSU rRNA
Rfam family: Bacterial small subunit ribosomal RNA
Source: RNAcentral